Molecule: long non-coding RNA, 921 nt
Organism: Oncorhynchus keta (chum salmon)
Lineage: Eukaryota; Metazoa; Chordata; Actinopteri; Salmoniformes; Salmonidae
Exons: 6
Source: RefSeq, a predicted model, not a curated record
UAUGCACAACCCACACAUCUCUCUUUCAUCCUCUGCCCUUCAUCAUCCCUAGGUAGGUAUGCACAACCCACACAUCUCUCUUUCAUCCUCUGCCCUUCAUCAUCCCUAGGUAGGUAUGCACAACCCACACAUCUCUCUUUCAUCCUCUGCCCUUCAUCAUCCCUAGGUAGGUAUGCACAACCCACACAUCUCUCUUUCAUCCUCUGCCCUUCAUCAUCCCUAGGUAGGUAUGCACAACCCACACAUCUCUCUUUCAUCCUCUGCCCUUCAUCAUCCCUAGGUAGGUAUGCACAACCCACACAUCUCUCUUUCAUCCUCUGCCCUUCAUCAUCCCUAGGUAGGUAUGCACAACCCACACAUCUCUCUUUCAUCCUCUGCCCUUCAUCAUCCCUAGGUAGGUAUGCACAACCCACACAUCUCUCUUUCAUCCUCUGCCCUUCAUCAUCCCUAGGUAGGUAUGCACAACCCACACAUCUCUCUUUCAUCCUCUGCCCUUCAUCAUCCCUAGGUAGGUAUGAACAACCCACACAUCUCUUUCAUCCUCUGCCCUUCAUCAUCCCUAGGUAGGUAUGCACAACCCACACAUCUCUCUUUCAUCCUCUGCCCUUCAUCAUCCCUAGGUAGGUAUGAACAACCCACACAUCUCUCUUUCAUCCUCUGCCCUUCAUCAUCCCUAGGUAGGUAUGCACAACCCACACAUCUCUCUUUCAUCCUCUGCCCUUCAUCAUCCCUAGGUAGGUAUGCACAACCCACACAUCUCUCUUUCAUCCUCUGCCCUAUGUUCCUCUUGUUUGUAUACAUUGAUGCGCAUUCUCAAAUUAAUGAAAGGAGACCGACAGGGAUCAUUAAAAUGUAAAUCAAUUUAUAACAUUUUUGACAUGUGUUUUUCUGGAUUUUAUUGUUGUUAUUCUGUCUCACUGU